This 468-nucleotide ribosomal RNA is filed under the name uncultured bacterium. Its description in RNAcentral is "partial 16S ribosomal RNA". It matches the Rfam family "Bacterial small subunit ribosomal RNA", at positions 28 to 507 of the family's 1533-position model. The record is from RNAcentral.
GACGAACGCUGGCGGCGUGCUUAACACAUGCAAGUCGAACGGAAAGGCCCUGCCUUUGUGGGGUGCUCGAGUGGCGAACGGGUGAGUAACACGUGAGUAACCUGCCCUUUACUUUGGGAUAACUUCAGGAAACUGGGGCUAAUACCAGAUAGGAGCUCCUGCUGCAUGGUGGGGGUUGGAAAGUUUCGGCGGUUGGGGAUGGACUCGCGGCUUAUCAGCUUGUUGGUGGGGUAGUGGCUUACCAAGGCUUUGACGGGUAGCCGGCCUGAGAGGGUGACCGGCCACAUUGGGACUGAGAUACGGCCCAGACUCCUACGGGAGGCAGCAGUGGGGAAUAUUGCACAAUGGGCGGAAGCCUGAUGCAGCAACGCCGCGUGCGGGAUGACGGCCUUCGGGUUGUAAACCGCUUUCGCCUGUGACGAAGCGUGAGUGACGGUAAUGGGUAAAGAAGCACCGGCUAACUACGUG